Molecule: ribosomal RNA, 465 nt
Filed under: Vreelandella stevensii
Lineage: Bacteria; Pseudomonadati; Pseudomonadota; Gammaproteobacteria; Oceanospirillales; Halomonadaceae
Description: partial 16S ribosomal RNA
Rfam family: Bacterial small subunit ribosomal RNA
Source: RNAcentral
CCUACGGGAGGCUGCAGUGGGGAAUAUUGGACAAUGGGCGAAAGCCUGAUCCAGCCAUGCCGCGUGUGUGAAGAAGGCCUUCGGGUUGUAAAGCACUUUCAGUGGGGAAGAAAGCCUUGGGGCUAAUACCCUCGAGGAACGACAUCACCCACAGAAGAAGCACCGGCUAACUCCGUGCCAGCAGCCGCGGUAAUACGGAGGGUGCGAGCGUUAAUCGGAAUUACUGGGCGUAAAGCGCGCGUAGGCGGUCUGAUAAGCCGGUUGUGAAAGCCCCGGGCUCAACCUGGGAACGGCAUCCGGAACUGUCAGGCUAGAGUGCAGGAGAGGAAGGUAGAAUUCCCGGUGUAGCAGUGAAAUGCGUAGAGAUCGGGAGGAAUACCAGUGGCGAAGGCGGCCUUCUGGACUGACACUGACGCUGAGGUGCGAAAGCGUGGGUAGCAAACAGGAUUAGAUACCCCAGUAGUC